GUAAAUAUGAGGAGGGGAGCGGGCACAGUCAUUUCAUCUCUAUCCUCUCCACUCUCUCCAUUUUCUCCCUCUCCCAAAUCUGUACAAGUGCUUGGUGUUUCCGGAGGGGUUCUUUUGACGUUCAGAUCCGACCGCUCCUGCAAUACCAGACAGAGAGAAAGAUGGCCGAUGCUGCUGGUCAAGAGGUUUGUGGAGUUUGUUUCAACCAUUGCAACUAUGAGAGCAAGGGAAGUGGUUUCAGCAUGUUUGCAUGGGAGGAGUUCAACAAUGCAGGGGUUGUGCCUUGCAAUGAAAGGGUCCGUUUCAAUAAUGUGACUAGAGAGAAGGUGACUUUGUGGCAAACCAAAGGACAUACACUGUAAAGUGUUAAAAGGGUCAUACAAAGAGUGCUAUGUAUGGGAGCGGUUGGAGGAAGUUCUAUGAUGACAACAAGCUAGGGAAGGGUCAGAUGGUGGUGUUCUUCCUGGAUGAACCUUCGCCUAGGGCAGCUAUUUGUGUGAUCCAAGUGGGCAGCGGCUCCGAAGAUGAACAGCCUAUGGAAGAGGGUGAUCCCAUUGAAGCUUCAAGCGAUGAUGGUGAAGGCAUUGUUCGCAUCAGGGAGCUUCUACUUAAUGAGACAGAGUGUUUUCAGCUACAAGGGUUGCUGCCUCUCAGUGAUGAUUUCAUCGGGUUUCCUUUCGUUCACCGCCUCACAAGGACAGACAAUUGUUUGGGCAUGAUGUCACUGGAAUGUGGAUCCAGGCUCAACAUCUUUCUAGAGGCCACCCAACGGCACUGUUCGAAUUGAGACACAGAGAGAAAACGGGAGAGGAAGGAAGCCACAUCACGGGGGUGGGGUUUCCGCGGCGGAACUCGCCGGCGAUGAGAUGCUCGGCGACGCCCGUGAGGAGAUGCUCGGCGAUCCGAGCGCCCCUCCAGAGUCCUCGCGCCCUGCUGAUGAGGGUCUGAUGGAUGCCCGCAUGCAGAUUGAACGCGAGAUCGAAACUAAAACCAAGUCCUCCUUGAAAGAAGGGUUAGGUCAACAGCUUAAAAUUGAUCAUAUGAAGGAGUCCAAAGACUUAAAAAGAGAUUGCCUAAACAAUGUGCCGCACACAGGUACAGCUUUUGAAGUUGAAGGAGGGAAACCUGAGAGUGAUAGAAAUGAAGAAGGCGGAGAUAAGUUGUGUUAAAGAUACUGAUUUAGAAGAGAGAGGCUAUGAUGUCGAGAUCACUCACAAUGAAGCAUCAGAAGGUUUGCUAUACGAAGAAGUUCUGACAUUGCUGAGUAAGAGUGCUCAAAGGAAAGAACGACGGGAAGCUCUUUUGGAACGAAAAAAGAAGCAAAGAGCAAGGAUUGACCCAACCACAACAAAGGCCACCAUUGAUGAGAUUGCAACUAAAGCUUACAGCCGGUGCAGUGUGCCAUACUUCUUUGAGAUUGUCAAUCUCGUGUGGAAGAGCCACCGCAGGGCCCAGCUUGUUAGGAAUAGUGGUUUUGGCUAUCUGCUGGAGCUGGUCGACUGUCCUGUACCCAGGGGUUUGUGCAGUGGAUUGCUGAUAAUGUGGACACACAAGUAGAAGCAACUGUUUUGAACAAGAGCAUUCCACUCAACGCUCAGUCAGUGGAGUUUGUGUUGGGGAUUCCUUCAGGGUUUUACCUGACAGAGAGAACGUACAACUGGGAGAGGAGCAAAAGUUUUCCUCUUGUUUAGCUAUACAUGGGCUUUUUGCUUU
Triticum aestivum (bread wheat) is the source of this 1713-nucleotide long non-coding RNA. RefSeq lists it as uncharacterized. The transcript has 9 exons. NCBI's taxonomy places the organism in Eukaryota, Viridiplantae, Streptophyta, Magnoliopsida, Poales, Poaceae. The record is from RefSeq and is a predicted model, not a curated record.